This is a long non-coding RNA of Equus asinus (donkey), 2938 nucleotides long. The record is from Ensembl. NCBI's taxonomy places the organism in Eukaryota, Metazoa, Chordata, Mammalia, Perissodactyla, Equidae.
UCUUAGUGGCUGCACCAGUUUGCAUUCCCCCCAACAGUGCAUAAGAGUUGCCUUUUCUUCACAUCUUCGCCAGCAUGUUUUUCUCGAUAAGUUCCUUUUGGUGAUAGAAAGUAAGGAAACAUGGGCAGAAAUAACACUACAUCUUAAUCCAGAUUCCAUGGGAGGGACAUGAGACAUUUUCUCAAAAUGGCCAAGGAAGAUUCUCCUAAUAGCAAACCAACGGGAAAAAGCAAAUCAAAUGAAUAGACUGUUUGCUUUUAAUCUGCAUAAAGAAUGCUGCUCUCCAACGUGCUUUUUUUGAUUAAAUGUAACACACACUUUUCCUUGUCAAUAAAAAUAAGUCUUUGUCCCAGUCAAAAAAAACAAACCAAUGGGAUAUUUUCAGAGUUUAGGCCUCUGGUGUUCCUUUUCCCAUGAAAAAGUCCCUCCUCAAGAUGCUCAUUGUCCUGCCUGACUUCUGUUUCCUGGUCAGGAGCACUCUUGCCUGCCUAGGGGAGCACUGUCUCCUGGCCAUGCCUGGUCCCUCGUUCCAUCUUCUCACCUGGUGUCUGGUGUGGGGUUUCAAGACUGCUGCCUUGCCUGAGGGAGAUCUCCCAUCCCUGUGGCCUGGGCUGGGCAGAGCAGUGGUGGUGGAGGGAGGUCUUCAGUGGGACGCAGGGGAAGGGAAGCUGCUCUUGUGUGGAUGGGGCUCAGGAACAGCUCUGCAUCCUGCUCUUCAUUCAGGGGUGCCUGGGCUCACUCGCUGUGCCUUGGGUCCCAGGGAAGUGGAUGGCUGUUGCUGGUGACAUGGCUGUUCUGCAAAGCUGAUUGAUUGAUCAAAUACACCACUCAUCAGGGGGAAUUUAUGGCCAUUUCUCCUGAUUCUGAUGUUCGGUUUUUAUUUUCUAAGCAGACAUUUAUGCCUCCUCCCUGCCCAUCAUUUCUGUGAUAAAAGUGGGACUGUGAACUUGGAGCAUUUUUGAGCUCUGAUACCCUCAUAAAUAACAGAUAUUCGUGAGGAGGGGGCUUCCAGGACAGCCCCUCUCAGUCCCAUUUCGUUUUCUGCCCCAUUUCAGCAAGUCUCCAAGUAGGAAAGGUGUGAUUGCAGUUGUCCCCAAUGCAACAUCGAUGUCAUGUCAGACAUUUCUCAAAGGAGCCAGGGCGCUCGUUACUUGUUACAUUGUUUCCUUUUAAGGCUGUUUUUUUUUUCUCUCUGCAAGGUGGGGAAAUUAAACUAGUAGACUGCAGUUCCCCCCACUUCUGAGCUGUUUUCAGUGCUUUAGGUUGACAUACGAACCUGAGAAGCGUCCUCCAGGAUCAGAGAAGCAGCGAGCCCCCAGCUCCACAGCAGAGUCAGCUAGUGAGCCUGCAGACCUCCCUGUAGUGACUCCGUCCUAGAGCCCAUUUUGUUCCUGUCACCUCCAUCAACCUUUAUUGACUAUCUACUGAGUGCAAGGCAUUACGCUCCGUGUGGAAUCGUCCUUCCACCUCUGGGGGUGGCAGAUAUCUUCCUUCUAGAUGUCUCUCUGCCUCCUCAGUCUCAGGCAUGCCGGGGUGCAGAAAAGAUGAAACAGUUCUCCAGCCCUCCUUUCAGCUACUUCAGUCAUUACGAUGUGGAAGGAGUCUCCACAGGUCCUUCAGCCCAAUGCUCUGCUUCUCGACUGCACAAACCAAGCUGUAAAGCCAGCUCCCCUUGGCCCCGUCUGCUCGCUGCCUGCUCUCUCCUGCACGUUAACAACAGGGAGGGAGGAAAGAAACUCUGGAAAGAACCCAAAGUGCCCAUUAGAUGAUUGUUAUUAUGCUGGUGCCUGUUGCAAUGAUCUAAGUCUGAGGUCUUCAUAAAAUCCAACAUUUUCCAAUUAGCUGUUGCUUAAUUAGCAUCAUGAAUAUUCAGAGCCCCCACGCCCUUUUGCAUCCUCCCUCUUCAAGUCUCUUCCAGCCCAGCCUGCUUCACCAGGUUGUAUUUGUGACAGCUGCGGUCGGGAGGUGGCGCCCGCAGAGCCCAGGCCUCCUUCCACCUCCUUGCAAGGCUGGGCUGAUACAGGCGUCUUUGGGCCUGGCUCUCACUACCCACCCUCCUCCAGGGGCCAGAAGGCGCUCGGGCCAUCAGACCUCCCGUUCGGAAACAUGCAAAAUGCACAGGUUUCCUUACUUACCAUGAAGCCUCUGAGGAUGAUUACUUCUGGAAAAGGCCCUCCCUGAGCACUAGAAUAUGUGAUCCUUUAAGCACAGACUAUUGCAGCAGUGAGAAGUCUGACUGCUCCUGACUGCUGCGGGGUCCUCCCUCCACCCUCCCUCUCUUUCUUCUUCCUUCCUUUUUAAAAAAAAAAAAAAAAAAUUAGCAACAGAACCUUUCCUUCAGAGGCACCUUCUUUAGAACCUCAAUAUAUAUAACAGAUAAAAACGGCACAGCUCUAGCUAGAGCGCGACUGAGGAUGCAGAGCCUCUCGCCUUCUCCACCCACCCUUCCAUCGGAUCCCCUCUGGGGCACCUUUUGGAGAUCUACGGAGCACAGUGUGCAAAACAUUGAUUGUCGUCUUUUCUUUUUUUCAGGAAACAAAAUGGAAGGCCAGGAAGCUUUCAGCAAUUGCUUAAGAAAAUGACUCAACUGAGAAGCAACAGUCUUCAGAGUGGAGCCAAUGCUGUGUUUGCCGUGGUAGAAGCAGUCUCCCAGAGUUUGAAGAGCUUCUAGAUGGUACAGCACUGCCUUCCACCUUCCUACAGGCUGAGCAAAAAGAGGGCGUACCAGACACUCUGAUCCCUCCUGGGAAGAUGCUAAGAUGAUGUGGCUUGGAGAGCAUUUCAGGCAGAGUGGCAUGCCCUCUGCCAGAGUUCCACCCCAGAGGUCUUCCACCUGCCCACAAGUCCUGCCACAGAGUUCAGAAUUCACUGCAAUCUAAACAACAGCUCUGUUGGUGGCAUGUAAUAAACACACCCUGCAGCUUUAUGUUGCUUAAUU